RNAcentral lists this transfer RNA (72 nucleotides) under Bos taurus (domestic cattle). It matches the Rfam family "tRNA". From Rfam's summary of the family: Transfer RNA (tRNA) molecules are approximately 80 nucleotides in length. Their secondary structure includes four short double-helical elements and three loops (D, anti-codon, and T loops). Further hydrogen bonds mediate the characteristic L-shaped molecular structure. tRNAs have two regions of fundamental functional importance: the anti-codon, which is responsible for specific mRNA codon recognition, and the 3' end, to which the tRNAs corresponding amino acid is attached (by aminoacyl-tRNA synthetases). tRNAs cope with the degeneracy of the genetic code in two manners: having more than one tRNA (with a specific anti-codon) for a particular amino acid; and 'wobble' base-pairing, i.e. permitting non-standard base-pairing at the 3rd anti-codon position. Lineage: Eukaryota; Metazoa; Chordata; Mammalia; Artiodactyla; Bovidae. RNAcentral also lists the same sequence under 5 other names. The record is from Rfam by way of RNAcentral.
UCCCUGGUGGCUCAGACGGUAAAGCGUCUGCCUCCAAUGCGGGAGACCUGGGUUCAAUCCCUGGGUUGGGAA